UGGAGAUAAAGUAAAAUCCUUUCUAGUUAAUUGAUUUUUCAUUUGCUUUACUGCAUUAAGUGGAAUUGUGUUAGCAAUGAACUUAACUCAGACUGGGUUUUAUUCCUUUGAUCUAUUGCUUCAUGAAAUCUAUCUCUUCCUUUCUUUUCAUGUAUGGUAAAUGCUUACCAUUCUGCUUUUUAUCCUCUGACCUAAGCUAAUUAGUUUCCUUCACCGUCAUAACACUAUGAUAACUCUUAUUUCUACCACUCCUCUUUAGAAUGAUACAAGUAUAAUGAAGAGUCCUGUGAAUUACAUUUUAACUGUAUAACCACAGAAAAUGUGAAACUUUUUGAGAAGCGAGUCAAACAUAUUAUGCAUGCGAUGUAACAGAUCUCAUCUGUUUCUCAUCUUAAAGCUCCUUAGAUCUUCUUAGGGACAACAUCUUCAACCUAUAAAAUGAUAUUUUGAGGAGAGCAGACAUUUCAGUGAGUCUAAAUUUAAAUUUAGAGGAUUAUCUCCAAGGUUGAUCUAUUGGAAUUACUUAUCUGGACCGAAGUAAUUCAAGUAAUUCAGGUGUAGUGAAACACUUCUAAUUUUAAAUUCAGAAGCAUUAAGGAGUGAGUUGGAUUAUUGGCUAUAGCACUUAGUUGAUCCUCUUUCUUAUCAUCCUUGACUUUUAAAGCCUGGCCUUUUUUUAAAUGUUCUUCAGAAAUCCAUGUGCUCACAGCAUUUGAUUCAUUAAUUUUGAAAGACUAUUAUAAAGGCCUUUUAAGUGAUAAGUUCAGAGAUACCUAAAAACCCAAGUGUGAACAUACACAAUUAAAAGAAAGAACUCUGUAAAAAUGUCAUAAUGAAUCAGAAGUUCCAAAGUGAAUCUUGGGUGAAAGGAGACUGAUCAUAUUUUACAGGCAAGUCAUUUUUUUUUUCAAAGUCUGAAUCUUCACUAAAUGGAUCCUUGGCAUUGAAGUUCAUUGGUGGGAGACUGUCUGCAUACACAGAGUUUAUGAAGCUAUAUUGCUCAAAUUAUGAUCUGCAGAUCACCUCCGGCAAAAUCUCUGGAUUCUAGAACCU
RNAcentral lists this long non-coding RNA (1053 nucleotides) under Felis catus (domestic cat). RNAcentral's name for it is "lncRNA (ENSFCAG00000051329.1)". The stretch from base 491 to 567 matches the Rfam family "mir-1297 microRNA precursor family". Lineage: Eukaryota; Metazoa; Chordata; Mammalia; Carnivora; Felidae. The record is from RNAcentral.